Hippocampus comes (tiger tail seahorse) is the source of this 619-nucleotide long non-coding RNA. RefSeq lists it as uncharacterized. The record is from RefSeq and is a predicted model, not a curated record. The transcript has 2 exons. NCBI's taxonomy places the organism in Eukaryota, Metazoa, Chordata, Actinopteri, Syngnathiformes, Syngnathidae.
GUUGCAUGCGCCGGUCCCAUCGAACGAAGCUCUGCGAGUGAGAAGACAGAGACGGUCGGCAGCUUGUGCCGGCUUUACCUGACCAGCCUCUCGGAAGUGAGCUAUCUACGGGGGAAGCUGUGACCUGAGGAUUCUAUGUUCUGUCAUGAGGAAAAUCUGCAGGCCCCGGGCCAUCGUCUUCCUUUUAGUGCAACUCAUCCUUCAGCUACGAGUUCACGUUUUGUAUACCCACAGACAAUUGGCACUUCUUAAGACUGAAUAAUUCAGUAAGCAUAGAGCAGGCCCGCUCGAAGGACAGGCCAACCAGCCAGAGAGUAAUAGCUUUAGCAUAAACAACACCUCCAAACUUGCACUCUUCCAAUAAUUGUCUGACAAGGGGAGGGGUGGUUGCCCAGACACUGCAUAGCUUGCUGAAAAAAAGGCCCCAGAAACAGUCUGAAUCAGCAAAGAUCAAUGGCGAAACUUUCAGCCAUCCACGUGGUCCUAUCGCGGUGGCUCCUUGCACGCUGAGCAUGGAAAAUAAGAUGCAUGUUAGCCAAUGGAAAGUCCAAUCUUUUCCCAUUUUCCUUAGAGCACUCCACUAUUAACAUGAGGGCAGCGCCUGUGGAAAAAAAAAAAA